AUUGAACGCUGGCGGCAGGCCUAACACAUGCAAGUCGAGCGGUGCGGCGGACGGGUGCGUAAUGCCUCGGAAUCUGCCUGGUAGCGGGGGAUAACUUCCGGAAACGGGCGCUAAUACCGCAUACUAUCAGAUGCGCCUAGUACGGAUUAGCUAGUUGGUGGGGUAAAGGCUUACCAAGGCGACGAUCCGUAACUGGUCUGCGAGGCUGACCAGCCACACUGGAACUGAGACACGGUCCAGACUCCUACGGGAGGCAGCAGUGGGGAAUUUUUGACAAUGGGCGAAAGCCUGACCCAACCAUGCCGCGUGAGUAGUGAAGGUCUUCGGAUUGUAAAGCUCUUUAAUUAGGAAAGCAGUACCAACAGGAUAAGCACCGACUAACUUCGUGCCAGCAGCCGCGGUAAUAC
This 407-nucleotide ribosomal RNA is filed under the name uncultured bacterium. Its description in RNAcentral is "partial 16S ribosomal RNA". It matches the Rfam family "Bacterial small subunit ribosomal RNA", at positions 30 to 526 of the family's 1533-position model. The record is from RNAcentral.